Molecule: long non-coding RNA, 405 nt
Filed under: Zostera marina
Lineage: Eukaryota; Viridiplantae; Streptophyta; Magnoliopsida; Alismatales; Zosteraceae
Description: long non-coding RNA (ZMAR_LNC002397)
Source: RNAcentral
GGACUAAGAAGAUACUAAAUCAUAAAACAUGGUCAAUUCCUUUCAGUGCAAUAAGAGAAAAUCUGCAACGCGAAAGCAUUGAGGCAUCAUGAAUCAAUGUAUUGAUUCGUUCUUCUGGUACUGAUAACGAAGUCGUUGUAAGUUUUAGUUUAUUUUAUAAUAUUCAUAAUUAGUAUUUUAUAGAUCUACUCAUAGCUUAUUGCUUAUUUUAUAGAGAAACAUGUCUGAAUAUUACAAAAGUGAUGAAAUUCAAGAAUUACGUCCAAUAACGGAUGAAGAUGUAUGUUUUAAAUUAUUUUACUAUUUCAAAUUAUUUAAAUGUUUUAUUUUCUUAUAUAUUAUUUUUCGCUUUUAGGUGAUUCAACAAAAAUGCAUUUCAAAAUUUAUUCAAAGCAAAAAAGGGAG